RNAcentral lists this microRNA (22 nucleotides) under Gallus gallus (chicken). RNAcentral describes it as "gga-miR-1775-3p". Lineage: Eukaryota; Metazoa; Chordata; Aves; Galliformes; Phasianidae. The record is from miRBase by way of RNAcentral.
UCCUGUAGCCAGAAGAUUCUGA